This 425-nucleotide ribosomal RNA is filed under the name uncultured bacterium. Its description in RNAcentral is "bacterial SSU rRNA". It matches the Rfam family "Bacterial small subunit ribosomal RNA", at positions 356 to 773 of the family's 1533-position model. The record is from RNAcentral.
GGGGAAUUUUGGACAAUGGGCGCAAGCCUGAUCCAGCCAUUCCGCGUGAGUGAAGAAGGCCUUCGGGUUGUAAAGCUCUUUCGCAAGGGAAGAAAACUUAUCCUCUAACAUAGGAUGAGGUUGACGGUACCUUGAUAAGAAGCACCGGCUAACUACGUGCCAGCAGCCGCGGUAAUACGUAGGGUGCGAGCGUUAAUCGGAAUUACUGGGCGUAAAGCGUGCGCAGGCUGUUUUGGAAGUCAGAUGUGAAAUCCCCGAGCUCAACUUGGGAACUGCGUUUGAAACUACAAGACUAGAAUAGGUCAGAGGGGGGUAGAAUUCCACGUGUAGCAGUGAAAUGCGUAGAGAUGUGGAGGAAUAUCAAUGGCGAAGGCAGCCCCCUGGGAUCAUAUUGACGCUCAUGCACGAAAGCGUGGGGAGCAAAC